GGAUUAGAUACCCUGGUAGUCCACGCCGUAAACGAUGUCGACUAGCCGUUGGGGUCCUUGAGGCUUUAGUGGCGCAGCUAACGCGAUAAGUCGACCGCCUGGGGAGUACGGCCGCAAGGUUAAAACUCAAAUGAAUUGACGGGGGCCCGCACAAGCGGUGGAGCAUGUGGUUUAAUUCGAAGCAACGCGAAGAACCUUACCAGGUCUUGACAUCCUCGGAACUUUGCAGAGAUGCAUGGGUGCCUUCGGGAACCGAGUGACAGGUGCUGCAUGGCUGUCGUCAGCUCGUGUUG
RNAcentral lists this ribosomal RNA (293 nucleotides) under uncultured bacterium. Its description in RNAcentral is "partial 16S ribosomal RNA". It matches the Rfam family "Bacterial small subunit ribosomal RNA", at positions 775 to 1067 of the family's 1533-position model. The record is from RNAcentral.